RNAcentral lists this long non-coding RNA (345 nucleotides) under Manacus vitellinus (golden-collared manakin). Its description in RNAcentral is "lncRNA (ENSMVIG00005012529.1)". Lineage: Eukaryota; Metazoa; Chordata; Aves; Passeriformes; Pipridae. The record is from RNAcentral.
AGACAUAAUCCCCUUCGAUCCAGAGGAGGACGGCUUCGAGGAUGACUUGGAUGCCCCCAGAGAGGAAUGGGUAGGAAAGCGGGUGCUCAGCUGGCUGUCACAGGGCUUUGAGAGGAUUGUGCCGCAGCCGGAGGGGAUGAAAAAGCUGGAGACAGAGCAGAAGGAUCAGAAGUGUGAAGCCACAGUGGAAGGCACAAAAAGGACUGAAACGACGGCAAAGCCAAAACCCCGCCUUUCAGCUGCCAUGAGCACCUCAGUGGCAGAGACACCAGCAGCUGCCACGGAGCAGCCAGAGCCAGUGACCACCCUCACCACUCAGUCCGUGGCUCUGGAUGGCCUCAGGUA